Molecule: ribosomal RNA, 468 nt
Filed under: uncultured bacterium
Lineage: Bacteria
Description: partial 16S ribosomal RNA
Rfam family: Bacterial small subunit ribosomal RNA
Source: RNAcentral
GACGAACGCUGGCGGCGUGCUUAACACAUGCAAGUCGAACGGAAAGGCCCUGCUUUUGUGGGGUGCUCGAGUGGCGAACGGGUGAGUAACACGUGAGUAACCUGCCCUUGACUUUGGGAUAACUUCAGGAAACUGGGGCUAAUACCGGAUAGGAGCUCCUGCUGCAUGGUGGGGGUUGGAAAGUUUCGGCGGUUGGGGAUGGACUCGCGGCUUAUCAGCUGGUUGGUGGGGUAGGGGCUUACCAAGGCUUUGACGGGGAGCCGGCCUGAGAGGGUGACCGGCCACAUUGGGACUGAGAUACGGCCCAGACUCCUACGGGAGGCAGCAGUGGUGAAUAUUGCACAAUGGGCGGAAGCCUGAUGCAGCAACGCCGCGUGCGGGAUGACGGCCUACGGGUUGUAAACCGCUUUCGCCUGUGACGAAGCGUGAGUGACGGUAAUGGGUAAAGAAGCACCGGCUAACUACGUG